AUUGAACGCUGGCGGAAUGCUUUACACAUGCAAGUCGAGCGGCAGCACGGGGGUAACCCUGGUGGCGAGCGGCGAACGGGUGAGUAAUACAUCGGAACAUGCCCAGUCGUGGGGGAUAACACUUCGAAAGAAGUGCUAAUACCGCAUACGUCCUGAGGGAGAAAGCGGGGGAUCGCAAGACCUCGCGCGAUUUGAGUGGCCUAUGUCAGAUUAGCUAGUUGGUGGGGUAAAGGCCUAACAAGGCAACGAUCUGUAGCUGGUCUGAGAGGAUGAUCAGCCACACUGGGACUGAGACACGGCCCAGACUCCUACGGGAGGCAGCAGUGGGGAAUUUUGGACAAUGGGGGCAACCCUGAUCCAGCCAUUCCGCGUGAGUGAAGAAGGCCUUCGGGUUGUAAAGCUCUUUCGGCAGGAACGAAGCGGUGAGCUCUAACAUAGCUUGCUAAUGACGGUACCUGAAGAAGAAGCACCGGCUAACUACGUG
This 484-nucleotide ribosomal RNA is filed under the name uncultured bacterium. RNAcentral's name for it is "partial 16S ribosomal RNA". It matches the Rfam family "Bacterial small subunit ribosomal RNA", at positions 30 to 507 of the family's 1533-position model. The record is from RNAcentral.